UACAGAGGGUGCAAGCGUUGUUCGGAAUUAUUGGGCGUAAAGGGCGCGUAGGCGGCUUUUCAAGUGACGGGUGAAAUCCCUCGGCUUAACCGAGGAACUGCCUGUCAGACUGGAAGGCUUGAGACCGGGAGAGGUGAGUGGAAUUCCCAGUGUAGCGGUGAAAUGCGUAGAUAUUGGGAGGAACACCAGUGGCGAAGGCGGCUCACUGGACCGGAACUGACGCUGAGGCGCGAAAGCGUGGGGAGCAAACAGG
RNAcentral lists this ribosomal RNA (253 nucleotides) under uncultured bacterium. RNAcentral's name for it is "partial 16S ribosomal RNA". It matches the Rfam family "Bacterial small subunit ribosomal RNA", at positions 524 to 776 of the family's 1533-position model. The record is from RNAcentral.